AGUUGAAUUGAGUUGAGUAUAUAAAACCUUGUUGUUAAGACAUAGAAAACAGACAUUCUUCAAUUUAACCUAAAAAUGUUAUAUAUGCUCAAACAAUCAAAGCAUCUUAACAAACAAGGAUGCUCUUGCUUUGACACUGCACUUCAAACUCCUCAAAUUAGAAACUAUAUUAAAAUCAAUGAGAAACUAACAAUGUUAACCAAAUAGAACUACUUAGCUAGGUUCUAUCCUUAUUCCAUAAACUAUGGAUGCUAAUUCCACCAAUCAUGUCCUAUAAGUUCGAGAUACAAAUAGAAGACCGAUGAACUAACCCUGCAGGGCCCAGAAUCUGGUUCAAGAAAGCUACAAAAACUAUAUGAAACAAUGACUCCCAACUAGAAGUUACAUUGGAAAUCAGAACUAUUCUCCUUCAAACAAAAAUGAAAAACUACUAUUUAUUGCCAGUACUUGUCUAUCGAUUAUGUUAUCUUACCUUAGACAUUGAAGUAAGCUCUCUGCAACAGAAGCCUCUUGAAUAGCCUCUAUUGCUGCUGUCUGUGCAGCAUCUCUAUGCUUCGUAACUUCCUUUCCGAGCUUAGCAACAGAAGAAGGGAGUGAACUCCAUGAAAAGCUUCCCUCAGUUAGUUUCCUGCUAUUUAUUGAAACCUUAACCAAGUUUCCUGGAAGUCCAUUAUUAUUUCCUGAUGAUUUCUUUCCAAUUGAUGCUCUUAGUUUAUUUGACUUUUCUUGAUCAUCCAAAUUUCCAUUUGCAGUAACUUUCUUUGUAGAUUUCGGAUUUCUGUUCUCCUCUUUAGAUGAUUUGGCUGAUAGUUGGGUCUUAUUAUCCUCUUUAGAUGCCAACCUAUCAGUUGACAUGCUUUUUCUAGGAGCUGAAAUACUCCGAGCUUCAGGCUUCAGAUCGUAUUUGGCAGCCCUUAAUUUUGAAUUCUCCCGGUGUUUCACCUCCAUAUUCCCUUCCCAACUCUUCCUUAAAGCUUUGGCCCCAAGCUCAAUUCCCUGAACUAUAUUCUUAAUAACUGGUACCCUCUUUGCAUUUGGACUUGCCCCACGAACAGAACUCAACUUUUCCACUACUCUUGACUCAGUUGAUCCCUUCUCCGACCCCUUAAUCUUCGUUUGCUGC
RNAcentral lists this unclassified non-coding RNA (1123 nucleotides) under Hevea brasiliensis (rubber tree). Lineage: Eukaryota; Viridiplantae; Streptophyta; Magnoliopsida; Malpighiales; Euphorbiaceae. The record is from RNAcentral.